RNAcentral lists this ribosomal RNA (497 nucleotides) under uncultured bacterium. RNAcentral describes it as "partial 16S ribosomal RNA". It matches the Rfam family "Bacterial small subunit ribosomal RNA", at positions 28 to 507 of the family's 1533-position model. The record is from RNAcentral.
GAUGAACGCUGGCGGCGUGCCUAAUACAUGCAAGUCGAGCGAACAGACGAGGAGCUUGCUCCUCUGACGUUAGCGGCGGACGGGUGAGUAACACGUGGAUAACCUACCUAUAAGACUGGGAUAACUUCGGGAAACCGGAGCUAAUACCGGAUAACAUGUUGAACCGCAUGGUUCAACAGUGAAAGACGGUUUUGCUGUCACUUAUAGAUGGAUCCGCGCCGCAUUAGCUAGUUGGUAAGGUAACGGCUUACCAAGGCAACGAUGCGUAGCCGACCUGAGAGGGUGAUAGGCCACACUGGAACUGAGACACGGUCCAGACUCCUACGGGAGGCAGCAGUAGGGAAUCUUCCGCAAUGGGCGAAAGCCUGACGGAGCAACGCCGCGUGAGUGAAGAAGGUCUUCGGAUCGUAAAACUCUGUUAUUAGGGAAGAACAAAUGUGUAAGUAACUAUGCACGUCUUGACGGUACCUAAUCAGAAAGCCACGGCUAACUACGUG